GGAGGGAUCGCAUAGUCCGGCCUAGUGCGCACGCCUGGAAAGCGUGUAGGCGGUGCAAGCCGCCUCGUGGGUUCGAAUCCCACUCCCUCCGCCA
This 94-nucleotide transfer RNA is filed under the name Acidimicrobiia bacterium. Its description in RNAcentral is "tRNA-Ser". It matches the Rfam family "tRNA". Rfam says of the family: Transfer RNA (tRNA) molecules are approximately 80 nucleotides in length. Their secondary structure includes four short double-helical elements and three loops (D, anti-codon, and T loops). The record is from RNAcentral. Lineage: Bacteria; Bacillati; Actinomycetota; Acidimicrobiia.